ACCUCAAAUUAGGUAAGGGUACCCGCUGAACUUAAGCAUAUCAAUAAGCGGAGGAAAAGAAACUAACCAGGAUUCCUUAGUAACGGCGAGUGAAGCGGGAAUGGCUCAAAUUUUAAAUCUGAUCGGUCCUCCGAUCCGAAUUGUAAUCUAAAGAAGCGUUUACAGCGUCCUCUCGGGUAUAGGUCCCUUGGAAUAGGGCAUCAUAGAGGGUGAGAAUCCCGUCUGUGACACGAGUUCGGGGUGCGAUACGUUACGCUUUCGACGAGUCGAGUUGUUUGGGAUUGCAGCUCAAAAUGGGUGGUAAAUUCCAUCUAAGGCUAAAUAAUUGCAAGAGACCGAUAGCGAACAAGUACCGUGAGGGAAAGAUGAAAAGAACUUUGAAAAGAGAGUUAAACAGUACGUGAAAUUGUUGAAAGGGAAACGAUUGAAGCCAGUCAUGCCGGUGGGAAAUCAGCUCCCGGGGUAACCAGGGAAGUGCACUUUCUCGCAAGGCAGGUUAGCGUCAGUUUCGCCAGUCGUAAAAAGUCCGUCGGAAGGUGGCUCCAUUCGGAGUGUUAUAGCCAGCGGUCAAUGCGACGUGCGGGAUUGAGGAUUGCAGCGGGUGCCCUUCGGGGCUAAGUGCCUGGCCCUUGUACGAGAUCGUCUCGGUAGCAGCAUGCUGGUGACGAGCACGAUUCGCGGACACGGGGUUUAGCGUCACGGUAAACUCGUUAAGGAUGCUGACGUAAUGGCUUCAAACGACCCGUCUUGAAACACGGACCAAGGAGUCUAACAUAUGUGCGAGUGUUU
This 789-nucleotide ribosomal RNA is filed under the name Ambispora fennica. RNAcentral describes it as "eukaryotic LSU rRNA". It matches the Rfam family "Eukaryotic large subunit ribosomal RNA", at positions 1 to 695 of the family's 3401-position model. Lineage: Eukaryota; Fungi; Glomeromycota; Glomeromycetes; Archaeosporales; Ambisporaceae. The record is from RNAcentral.